RNAcentral lists this ribosomal RNA (253 nucleotides) under uncultured bacterium. Its description in RNAcentral is "partial 16S ribosomal RNA". It matches the Rfam family "Bacterial small subunit ribosomal RNA", at positions 524 to 776 of the family's 1533-position model. The record is from RNAcentral.
UACAGAGGUCCCAAGCGUUGUUCGGAUUCACUGGGCGUAAAGGGUGCGUAGGUGGUCAGAUAAGUUUGAUGUGAAAUCUCCGGGCUUAACCCGGAAAAUGCAUUGAAUACUAUUUGGCUGGAGGGUUGGAGGGGGGACUGGAAUACUUGGUGUAGCAGUGAAAUGCGUAGAUAUCAAGUGGAACACCAGUGGCGAAGGCGAGUCCCUGGACAACUCCUGACACUGAGGCACGAAAGCUAGGGGAGCAAACAGG